This is a long non-coding RNA of Acinonyx jubatus (cheetah), 2026 nucleotides long. RefSeq lists it as uncharacterized. Lineage: Eukaryota; Metazoa; Chordata; Mammalia; Carnivora; Felidae. The transcript has 4 exons. The record is from RefSeq and is a predicted model, not a curated record.
GCUUCCUGCCCUGACCCUAGGAUGAAAAUGCAAGGGGACCUCCUCAGGAGUUUGGCCUUGGAGUGGGGCGCUGCACCAAAGUGAGGUCCUGGAGUCCGGCUCUUAAUUGUGCCACUAUGUAUUAUCUUAUUUGAAAGUCAUACCCUUCUGCGGAGCUCAAGUUAUUACCUCCGAUUUGGAGAUGGGGAAAAGGAGGGACUUAUCUAGAACUUAGGACGCCUUGCAUUAGGGUUGAGGUAGACCUGAAGUUAAAUGCUACUGUAGUAAUUUCUGACUCUCGCAUCUUAUACUUCAACAUUAUUUUUGAAUCUAGGUUUCUGUUUGCAAGAUUAUUAGGUCAAUGUUUGUCUCUCACUAAACUGCGGGCAUUAGGAGCGUGUAGACCAUGUUUGUGUUCAUUUUAACUCAAUUGCUUAGCACAUAGCCUGGCUCACAAUGGAGUCUUCUUAUGAAUCCAAAUAAGGUUCUAAACCACCACAUACACGCUUGAAAUCAUGUAGUUUUGCUGCAUGUAUUUUAUUUUUUAUUUAAAAUUAAAGAAAAAAAAUGUUUUUUCAAGAGAGACAGCCCAAGCGGAGAAGAGGGGCAGAGAGACAGAGAGAGAGAAUCUUAAGCAGCCUGCAUGCUCAGCACAGAGCCCAACACAGGGAUCAAUCCCAUGACCCUGAGAUCAUGACCUGAAUCUAAAUCAAGAGUUGGAUGCUCAACCAACUGAGCCACUCAGGUGCCCCUUACUAUUAUUAUUAUUAUUUUGCAUGUAUUUUAAACAGUAGGUUUUAUGGGACUUAGUAAUGGUUUCUGUCAGUGAAUGGAAGCUUUUGGAAAAUCCUUGGAAGGCUUGAGUUUGUUACAGGUGGCCUAUGAUUCGUCAACGCUAUGACACUGAGAAGGUUGCUUAGCACCUCAUAGACUUUUUCCUGGUCAUUACCCAUAGGUGAGGAGCAAUUCUUUCACCCUGUAAAGAGGAAAACUUUCCCCCAACUAGUACUUGAAGUGAGGCACUCUGUGGGACUUACUUCUUUGUGUAUUGUUCAGUUAGGAGAGAAGACCUUUCCUACAUUUAGUAUUUUAAGCCCCAAACUUUAGCACGAAGAGAAGGAUUUCCUUCCAGCUGAUAUGAGUGGCGAGGGUUGGGGAAUAAGGAUUUGGGAGCUCAUGGGAACUCAGUAGGAUCACUUGAUCCAAUGGUUUUCAAACCACAUUCCCUGGGGUUGUAGAAUUCUUUUGUGGCCAGUAGGUGUGUGGAAAGGGAAAGCUGAGAGGCAGGAUGCCAGUCCAAUGCCCCCACCUCCCCUUCUACCAGAGCUGUUCCAUCACAGAUCGGGCCUAGCCAUAUUCUCAUUUCACAGAUGAGGAAACUGAGGCCCUAGGAGGGGUCAGAGUUUGUCCAAGAUCACAAAUUGAGAAGUGCCUGGCAAAGCCUAGACCCACAUCUGGUGUAGAAAAAAGCUGGGUCUGGUUGCAGAACCAGACAGUUUCUUUCAUUUCAACAGAAGACUAUGCAGCAGGCCAUUGUCCAAGAUACACAGGCCGUUUCCUGUCAAUCAUUUCCCAGGGACCAUGCUCAGCCUGUGAAACUGUGGGGGACCCCGGAAUCUGCCGCAGAGAAGGAUGUAUUUGUGGACUGGAAGUUUGGGGUCAGUUUCAUGGAGGGUUUUUGUCAUUUACUUCCUCAAACUGUGACUAGUGCGGAACAUAAUAAGGAGGAAGCUUCCUGAAGUUGUGGCAGGCCAAAGGCAUAGCUGUUGGUGGAUGAACGGGUAAGCAAAUGGUGGUCUGUCCACUCAGUGGAAUACUACACAACCACGAGAAGGCAAUCACGAUGUGGUGACAUGUGGCCACGUGGACGAAUCUCAAAUGCACUAUACUAGGGGUGCAGGAACAAGGUGCUGGAACAAGGAAGUUACACCAGGCAUUGACUUGUUUAAGAUUCCAUUUCUCGGAGAGCCAAAUUUGUAACUAAGUUAAUGCUCAGUUUGGUGACACAGGGCUUCGCAUAAGUGACUCCAUUUUGGGCCGGUUGUCG